This 424-nucleotide ribosomal RNA is filed under the name uncultured bacterium. RNAcentral describes it as "partial 16S ribosomal RNA". It matches the Rfam family "Bacterial small subunit ribosomal RNA", at positions 359 to 774 of the family's 1533-position model. The record is from RNAcentral.
GAAUAUUGGACAAUGGGCGGAAGCCUGAUCCAGCCAUGCCGCGUGAGUGAAGAAGGCCUUUUUUUUGUAAAGCACUUUUAGCGCGGAGGAGGACUUCUCGGUUAAUACCCAAGAUGCUUGGACGUUACUCGCACAAUAAGCACCGGCUACCCCUGUGCCCGCCGCCGCGGUAAUACAGAGGGUGCAAGCGUUAAUCGGAUUUACUGGGCGUAAAGCGCGCGUAGGUGGCCAAUUAAGUCAAAUGUGAAAUCCCCGAGCUUAACUUGGGAAUUGCAUUCGAUACUGGUUGGCUAGAGUAUGGGAGAGGAUGGUAGAAUUCCAGGUGUAGCGGUGAAAUGCGUAGAGAUCUGGAGGAAUACCGAUGGCGAAGGCAGCCAUCUGGCCUAAUACUGACACUGAGGUGCGAAAGCAUGGGGAGCAAACA